RNAcentral lists this long non-coding RNA (2242 nucleotides) under Sus scrofa (pig). Its description in RNAcentral is "lncRNA (ENSSSCG00040038201.1)". The record is from RNAcentral. Lineage: Eukaryota; Metazoa; Chordata; Mammalia; Artiodactyla; Suidae.
GGGACGGGCCCUUCCAAGGAUGAGGACCCUUCAGAGAAGCUGGGAGGAGGUGAGGGGGUGGGGGAGGCCCAGAGGAAGAUGGGGGGUGGCGCUGGGCUGUGGAGCAGAGGCAUCCAGCCUGGUGGCCUGUGGCUUAUGGCUGCAGGACCGGAUCACCACACACUCAGUGGCCCAGAACGGCCCCCAUUUAGUUCAUGUUGUUUAAAUGUCCCGCACAGUCUCGCAAGGCUACAGUCGGGGUGCUGGACGGCUGCGGGCCUCUCAGGGGCCAUGAGGGCGCCCGAGUCCCUGCCUUCCCCAUGGUGGGACCGCCCCGUCCUUUGCACACAGCCCCCACCUCUGGCCUCUUCCAGGUCAAGCUCCUGCGACGACCUGGGGCCGCCCAGGUGUGCCAGGUAAGCCCCCUGAUGUAAGAUCAUCAGACCAACACCCUCAGUCCCUUUGGCUGUCUUAAAUCCUCUUCGCUGUGGCACCUAACGUCUUCACGGGCCCCAGAAGCUAGAAUUCGGGGAGUUGUCAGUGAGGGGGGGGUGCUUCCACUUAUGACAGCAGAGAAAGGCUGCCAAGAGGUCGAGUGAUAUAAACUCAGCGAUGUUCCAUGAAGUGAAGAAGCCAAGAGACGCAUGGAGAACAGAACUGAUGGAGGGAGGGGCCCGCGAGUAAGGGCUGAAGGCAGAGGAGGGUGACCAAGCGGAAAGGGCCACCUGGGAGCCCUCGGGUGGCUCCCCCCUGAGAUGCGGUCGGGUGUCCAGUGUGAGGUGGGCGCGCGCUGGUCCACGUUUAGACGCUUGGUCCACCUCUGGGACCUCGGCUGCAUGCACAGGCCCAUGAGAUGCUGGCUUCAUCCACAGGCCUGGGGCGAGCGGUGGCGGCAUAGCGGUGAUGACAGCUGCCUUCCACAGGCCUGGGGCUUUAGCAGCAAACCCGAGCCGGGAGAGAAAGCGCUUUGUAAGGUGCAAAGUUCCAGGUAGCUAUGAGCCGUUAUUUCUGGCGGGACCACCCGGCUUCCUCCUUUCCUGCUCCGGGGCCUGGGCUUCCUGACCCUCUGGCUGAUCCUCAGCGGAAGCAGUUUACAGACAAGUGUUCUCUACGCAGCACCUCUGUCGCAGCUGCUCUCAAAUACGCUUUCCUAGGAGAGGGGCAGGGAUCCAGGAAUCCAUGUGUCCUUUCUCUUCCCAGUAUCUGGAAGCCCCGUCCUAAAUUAAUUUCUUACUUCUUCAUCUCAUGGAAACCGCUGUAGCCUCCACCAUGGAAAACUCCACCCGUAGCAUCUUCUGAAGGGGAUGCUGGAAUUGUUCAGAGACUCACUGGCUCAGAGCCACGUAGCGUCCUGAUCCCUCGAUGAGGUUGCUUUGAAGCCCCACAGUUAUUUCUGCAUCCUUUCCCUGCUUUUAAUGGCGCCACCAAAAUCAUCAGGUUUCUUUCUUCAGUUCUGGGUUGUCAUGAUGGGAAAUCCUGUUUUUUUCAUUUUUAAAGUUUUCUUGAAGUAUAGUGGAUAUACUAUGUUGUGCUAACGUCUGCUCUACAACACACAGUUAUCCUGGUACACACGUCCGUUCUCUCUCCGAUUCUUUUCCCACAUAGAUAAUCACAGAACACUGGGUAGCGUUCUCUGUGCUGGCCAAUCACUCCAUAGACCUCAGUGUGCACAUGCCAAUCCCAAACCCCCGGUCCCUUCCUCCCCACCCCCCAAUUGUCCCCUUUGGUAAUCAUACAUUUUUCAAAGUUUGUUUCUGUUCUGCAAAUAAGUUCAUUUGUACGUUUUUUUUUUUAUCACGUAUAAGUGAUAUUAUAUGAUGUUUGCCUUUUGCUGUCUAACUUCGCUUAGGUCCAUCCAUGCUGCUGCAAAUGACAUUAUUUCAUUCCUUUUUAUGGCUGAAUGAUAUUCCCGUAUGUAUAUGUACCAUGUCUUCUUAAUCCGCUCUUCUGUCAAUGAAGAAUUUAGGUUUUUUUUAUGUCUUGGCUAUUGUGAAUUGUGCUGCAGUGAACAGUGGGGUGCAUGUAUCUUUUCAAAUUAUGGUUUUCUACAGAUGGAUGUCUAGGAGUGGGCUUGCUGGGUCGUAAAGUCGUUCUGUGUUUAGUUUUCUGAGACACCUGCAUACUGUUCUCCAUGGCGGCUGCACCAAUGUACCUUCUCACCAACAGUGUAAUUGUUAUUACUUAGGCUGAUGUGAGGCUUUCUUGCUCCCUGCCUUCCCUUUCUUGGGGGAAAGAGAGGGCUGAGUGCAGCUUCCGGCAUUCC